This 22-nucleotide non-coding RNA is filed under the name Arabidopsis thaliana (thale cress). The record is from RNAcentral. Lineage: Eukaryota; Viridiplantae; Streptophyta; Magnoliopsida; Brassicales; Brassicaceae.
UAGAUUUGAGUUGAAUGAUGGA